CCUACGGGGGGCAGCAGUGGGGAAUAUUGGACAAUGGGCGGAAGCCUGAUCCAGCGACGCCGCGUGAGUGAUGAAGGCUCUAGGGAUGUAAAGCUCUAUCAGCAGGGAAGAAAAUGACGGUACCUGUCUAAGUAGCCCCGGCUAACUACGUGCCAGCAGCCGCGGUAAUACGCAGGGGGCAAGCGUUAUCCGGAUUUACUGGGUGUAAAGGGAGCGUAGACGGUUCAGCAAGUCUGAUGUGAAAGGUCGGGGCCCAACCCCGGGACUGCAUUGGAAACUGGUGGACUGGAGUUCAGGAGGGGUAAGCGGAAUUCGUGGUGUAGCGGUGAAAUGCGUAGAUAUGAGGAAGAACACCAGUGGCGAAGGCGGCUUACUGGACUGUAACUGACGCUGAGGCUCGAAAGCGUGGGGAGCAAACAGGAUUAGAUACCCGAGUAGUC
RNAcentral lists this ribosomal RNA (440 nucleotides) under uncultured bacterium. Its description in RNAcentral is "partial 16S ribosomal RNA". It matches the Rfam family "Bacterial small subunit ribosomal RNA", at positions 338 to 795 of the family's 1533-position model. The record is from RNAcentral.